RNAcentral lists this transfer RNA (85 nucleotides) under Felis catus (domestic cat). It matches the Rfam family "tRNA". Rfam says of the family: Transfer RNA (tRNA) molecules are approximately 80 nucleotides in length. Lineage: Eukaryota; Metazoa; Chordata; Mammalia; Carnivora; Felidae. The record is from Rfam by way of RNAcentral.
GCCUGGGUGGCUCAGUGGGUUGAGCGUCUGACUUCAGCUCAGGUCAUGAUCUCGCGGUCCGUGAGUUCGAGCCCCGCAUCGGGCU